RNAcentral lists this transfer RNA (112 nucleotides) under Shewanella sp. K8. RNAcentral describes it as "tRNA-OTHER". It matches the Rfam family "tRNA". Rfam says of the family: Transfer RNA (tRNA) molecules are approximately 80 nucleotides in length. Their secondary structure includes four short double-helical elements and three loops (D, anti-codon, and T loops). The record is from RNAcentral. Lineage: Bacteria; Pseudomonadati; Pseudomonadota; Gammaproteobacteria; Alteromonadales; Shewanellaceae.
UGGGGUAUCGCCAAGCGGUAAGGCACCGGGUUUUGAUCCCGGCAUUCCCAGGUUCGAGGGCACCGGGUUUUGAUCCCGGCAUUCCCAGGUUCGAAUCCUGGUACCCCAGCCA